GGAUGAAUGAGCUGUUUCCAGCAUUCCUGCUUCAACUCAAAAUUUUCCUUCAUGGCACAGUGGAAAGCUUUGAAGACGGCGGUUCUGGGGCUGAAUAUGAAGGCAACUCGGACUAAGAAGACGACUGCUUUCCAACUGCCCUCCCGUCCUGCAGCCGCCUGAUUUGAGGAAGGGGCUGGGAUCCUUCCCCUUGCCCUCUGGUUGUUCUUGGAGUUACAGCAGCCCCGCGGCAGCUCUGCCCCCUAGUGCACAUGUGAGGCAGCGCGCCCUUCUCCAAUCCAGAAGCCUCGUCGCGGUGCUGCCAGCAAGGGAGUUUUUCUGUAUUCACUUUGGUGGAAAUAGCAAAACUUGACAGAAAAAAAACCCAAGCCAAACC
This 376-nucleotide long non-coding RNA is filed under the name Homo sapiens (human). RNAcentral's name for it is "non-protein coding LINC01220:4". The record is from RNAcentral. Lineage: Eukaryota; Metazoa; Chordata; Mammalia; Primates; Hominidae.